CUUCCAGACUCCUACGGGAGGCAGCAGUGGGGGAUAUUGGACAAUGGGGGAAACCCUGAUGCAGCAACGCCGUGUGAGUGAAGAAGCGUUUCGGCAUGUAAAUCUCUGUCAGCGGGGAAGAAAGAAGACGGUACCCGACCAAGAAGCCCCGGCUAACUACGUGCCAGCAGCCGCGGUAAUACGUAGGGGGCGAGCGUUAUCCGGAAUUACUGGGUGUAAAGGGAGCGUAGACGGCGAAGUAAGCCUGAAGUGGAAGCCCGCGGCCCAACCGCGGAACUGCUUUGGGAACUGUUUUGCUGGAGUAUGGGAGGGGUAAGCGGAAUUCCUGGUGUAGCGGUGAAAUGCGUAGAUAUCAGGAGGAACACCGGUGGCGAAGGCGGCUUACUGGACCAUGACUGACGUUGAGGCUCGAAAGCGUGGGGAGCGAACAGGAUUAGAUACCCUUGUA
RNAcentral lists this ribosomal RNA (448 nucleotides) under uncultured bacterium. RNAcentral's name for it is "bacterial SSU rRNA". It matches the Rfam family "Bacterial small subunit ribosomal RNA", at positions 328 to 792 of the family's 1533-position model. The record is from RNAcentral.